RNAcentral lists this unclassified non-coding RNA (282 nucleotides) under Hevea brasiliensis (rubber tree). The record is from RNAcentral. Lineage: Eukaryota; Viridiplantae; Streptophyta; Magnoliopsida; Malpighiales; Euphorbiaceae.
GGGGAACAGUAGCUAGGAAGAAAAUUUCAUGGAAUACCUUAAUUACAUAGUUAUUUAUAAUAUAAUAACUAGUUCUACUAGUAUUAGGAUUAUAAAUCCCAAAAUAUGAAAAUACUAAGCCAAUCUAAUUAGGAAUAUAAAACCAAUACCAAUUAGGAAAAUAGUAAACCUAAAGUAAUAAUAAAAUUUCUAAAUAAUUGAAAUACUAUUUGCUCAUUAAACUUUCUAAACAAUAGAAAUUUAAACAACUUAAUUUUGCAAUGAAAAAUUAAAUCAAAAUAA